Molecule: ribosomal RNA, 913 nt
Filed under: uncultured bacterium
Lineage: Bacteria
Description: bacterial SSU rRNA
Rfam family: Bacterial small subunit ribosomal RNA
Source: RNAcentral
AGAGUUUGAUCAUGGCUCAGGAUGAACGCUAGCUACAGGCUUAACACAUGCAAGUCGAGGGGCAGCAUUUUUCUAGCAAUAGAAGAGAUGGCGACCGGCGCACGGGUGAGUAACACGUAUCCAACCUGCCGAUAACUCCGGAAUAGCCUUUCGAAAGAAAGAUUAAUACCGGAUAGUAUACGAAUAUCGCAUGAUAUUUUUAUUAAAGAAUUUCGGUUAUCGAUGGGGAUGCGUUCCAUUAGUUUGUUGGCGGGGUAACGGCCCACCAAGACUACGAUGGAUAGGGGUUCUGAGAGGAAGGUCCCCCACAUUGGAACUGAGACACGGUCCAAACUCCUACGGGAGGCAGCAGUGAGGAAUAUUGGUCAAUGGGCGAGAGCCUGAACCAGCCAAGUAGCGUGAAGGAUGAAGGCUCUAUGGGUCGUAAACUUCUUUUAUAUGGGAAUAAAGUUUUCCACGUGUGGAAUUUUGUAUGUACCAUAUGAAUAAGGAUCGGCUAACUCCGUGCCAGCAGCCGCGGUAAUACGGAGGAUCCGAGCGUUAUCCGGAUUUAUUGGGUUUAAAGGGAGCGUAGGUGGAUUGUUAAGUCAGUUGUGAAAGUUUGCGGCUCAACCGUAAAAUUGCAGUUGAAACUGGCAGUCUUGAGUACAGUAGAGGUGGGCGGAAUUCGUGGUGUAGCGGUGAAAUGCUUAGAUAUCACGAAGAACUCCGAUUGCGAAGGCAGCUCACUAGACUGUUACUGACACUGAUGCUCGAAAGUGUGGGUAUCAAACAGGAUUAGAUACCCUGGUAGUCCACACAGUAAACGAUGAAUACUCGCUGUUUGCGAUAUACAGUAAGCGGCCAAGCGAAAGCAUUAAGUAUUCCACCUGGGGAGUACGCCGGCAACGGUGAAACUCAAAUGAAUUGACGG